RNAcentral lists this ribosomal RNA (399 nucleotides) under uncultured Leegaardiellidae. Its description in RNAcentral is "partial small subunit ribosomal RNA". It matches the Rfam family "Eukaryotic small subunit ribosomal RNA", at positions 30 to 432 of the family's 1831-position model. The record is from RNAcentral. Lineage: Eukaryota; Ciliophora; Spirotrichea; Choreotrichida; Leegaardiellidae.
GCUUGUCUCAAAGAUUAAGCCAUGCAUGUCUAAGUAUAAGUAUUAUACAGCGAAACUGCGAAUGGCUCAUUAAAACAGUUAUAGUUUACAUGAUAAUCGAAUUUACAUGGAUAACCGUGGUAAUUCUAGAGCUAAUACAUGCUGGCGUGCCCGACUUUUGUGGAAGGGCGGUAUUUAUUAGAUAACAAACCAAUAUUCCUCGUGUCUAUUGUGAUGACUCAUAAUAACUGAUCGAAUCGCAUGGGCUUUGCCCGCGAUACAUCAUUCAAGUUUCUGCCCCAUCAGCUUUCGAUGGUAGUGUAUUGGACUACCAUGGCUUUAACGGGUAACGGAGGAUUAGGGUUCGAUUCCGGAGAGGGAGCCUGAGAAACGGCUACCACAUCUAAGGAAGGCAGCAGG